RNAcentral lists this ribosomal RNA (398 nucleotides) under uncultured bacterium. Its description in RNAcentral is "partial 16S ribosomal RNA". It matches the Rfam family "Bacterial small subunit ribosomal RNA", at positions 355 to 769 of the family's 1533-position model. The record is from RNAcentral.
UGGGGAAUAUUGCACAAUGGGCGAAAGCCUGAUGCAGCAACGCCGCGUGAGUGAUGAAGGCCUUCGGGUUGUAAAGCUCUGUCUUUUGGGACGAUAAUGACGGUACCAAAGGAGGAAGCCACGGCUAACUACGUGCCAGCAGCCGCGGUAAUACGUAGGUGGCAAGCGUUGUCCGGAUUUACUGGGCGUAAAGGAUGCGUAGGCGGAUUUUUAAGUGAGAUGUGAAAUACCCGGGCUUAACUUGGGUGCUGCAUUUCAAACUGGGAAUCUAGAGUGCGGGAGAGGAGAAUGGAAUUCCUAGUGUAGCGGUGAAAGUGCGUAGAGAUUAGGAAGAACACCAGUGGCGAAGGCGAUUCUCUGGACCGUAACUGACGCUGAGGCAUGAAAGCGUGGGUAGC